RNAcentral lists this ribosomal RNA (440 nucleotides) under uncultured bacterium. RNAcentral's name for it is "partial 16S ribosomal RNA". It matches the Rfam family "Bacterial small subunit ribosomal RNA", at positions 339 to 795 of the family's 1533-position model. The record is from RNAcentral.
CUACGGGCGGCACCAGUAGGGAAUUUUCCACAAUGGGCGAAAGCCUGAUGGAGCAACGCCGCGUGCAGGAUGAAUGCCUUCGGGUUGUAAACUGCUUUUAUUGGUGACGAUUAUGACGGUAGCCAAUGAAUAAGGACCUGCUAACUACGUGCCAGCAGCCGCGGUCAUACGUAGGGUCCAAGCGUUAUCCGGAAUUACUGGGCGUAAAGAGUUGCGUAGGUGGCAUGAAAAGCGAAUAGUGAAAGCGUGUGGCUCAACCAUACAUCCAUUAUUUGAACUCCCAAGCUAGAGGACGAGAGAGGUAGAUGGAAUUCCUAAUGUAGGGGUAAUAUCCGUAGAUAUUAGGAGGAACACCGAUGGCGUAGGCAGUCUACUGGCUCGUUUCUGACACUAAGGCACGAAAGCGUGGGGAGCAAACAGGAUUAGAUACCCUUGUAGUC